GCAGCCGCGGUAAUACGUAGGUGGCGAGCGUUAUCCGGAAUUAUUGGGCGUAAAGAGCGCGCAGGUGGUUGAUUAAGUCUGAUGUGAAAGCCCACGGCUUAACCGUGGAGGGUCAUUGGAAACUGGUCGACUUGAGUGCAGAAGAGGGAAGUGGAAUUCCAUGUGUAGCGGUGAAAUGCGUAGAGAUAUGGAGGAACACCAGUGGCGAAGGCGGCUUCCUGGUCUGUAACUGACACUGAGGCGCGAAAGCGUGGGGAGCAAACAGGAUUAGAUACCCG
Molecule: ribosomal RNA, 278 nt
Filed under: uncultured Turicibacter sp.
Lineage: Bacteria; Bacillati; Bacillota; Erysipelotrichia; Erysipelotrichales; Turicibacteraceae
Description: partial 16S ribosomal RNA
Rfam family: Bacterial small subunit ribosomal RNA
Source: RNAcentral